GACGAACGCUGGCGGCGUGCUUAACACAUGCAAGUCGAACGGAAAAGCACUGCUUUUGUGGUGUGCUAGAGUGGCGAACGGGUGUGUAACACGUGAGUAGCCUGCCCUUUACUUUGGGAACCCUUCAGGAAACUGGGGCUUAUAGCGGAUAGGAGCUCCUCCUGAUUGGUGGGGGUUGGAAAGUUUCGGCGGUUGGGGAUGGACGCGCGGCUGAUCAGCUUGUUGGUGGGGUAGUGGCUUACCAAGGCUUUGACGGGUAGCCGGCCUGGGAGGGUGACCGGACACAUUGCGACUGAGAUACGGCCCAGACUACUACGGGACGCAGCGGUGGGGAAUAUUGCACAGUAGGAGGAAGCCUGCUGCAGCAACGCCGCGUGCGGGAUGACAGCCUUCGGGUCGUAAACCGCUUCCGCCUGUGACGAGGCGUGAGUGACGGUAAUGGGUAAAGAAGCACCGGCUAACUACGUG
Molecule: ribosomal RNA, 468 nt
Filed under: uncultured bacterium
Lineage: Bacteria
Description: partial 16S ribosomal RNA
Rfam family: Bacterial small subunit ribosomal RNA
Source: RNAcentral